RNAcentral lists this ribosomal RNA (667 nucleotides) under Snodgrassella alvi. RNAcentral's name for it is "bacterial SSU rRNA". It matches the Rfam family "Bacterial small subunit ribosomal RNA", at positions 1 to 654 of the family's 1533-position model. The record is from RNAcentral. Lineage: Bacteria; Pseudomonadati; Pseudomonadota; Betaproteobacteria; Neisseriales; Neisseriaceae.
AGAUUAAACAUAAGAGUUUGAUCCUGGCUCAGAUUGAACGCUGGCGGCAUGCUUUACACAUGCAAGUCGAACGGCAGCACGGAGAGCUUGCUCUCUGGUGGCGAGUGGCGAACGGGUGAGUAAUGCAUCGGAACGUACCGAGUAAUGGGGGAUAACUGUCCGAAAGGAUGGCUAAUACCGCAUACGCCCUGAGGGGGAAAGCGGGGGAUCUUAGGACCUCGCGUUAUUUGAGCGGCCGAUGUUGGAUUAGCUAGUUGGUGGGGUAAAGGCCUACCAAGGCGACGAUCCAUAGCGGGUCUGAGAGGAUGAUCCGCCACAUUGGGACUGAGACACGGCCCAAACUCCUACGGGAGGCAGCAGUGGGGAAUUUUGGACAAUGGGGGGAACCCUGAUCCAGCCAUGCCGCGUGUCUGAAGAAGGCCUUCGGGUUGUAAAGGACUUUUGUUAGGGAAGAAAAGCCGGGUGCUAAUACCACCUGGUGCUGACGGUACCUAAAGAAUAAGCACCGGCUAACUACGUGCCAGCAGCCGCGGUAAUACGUAGGGUGCGAGCGUUAAUCGGAAUUACUGGGCGUAAAGCGAGCGCAGACGGUUAGAUAAGUCAGAUGUGAAAUCCCCGAGCUCAACUUGGGACGUGCAUUUGAAACUGUCUAACUAGAGUGUGUCAG